UUUUUUUUUCCCUAAAUUUUUCCUUUUUUUCUCGUUUUCCCCUAAAAUUUUCCAAAUUUUUCUCCCUAUCCACGAUUUCUUCAUACUCUUCACAAAUUUCUUCAGCCCAUGACCUAAUUCCACCCACUACUAUCUUCUUAAUCCCCUUUUCUUCAAUGGGUUUGCGUUCAAACCCUACUGCAACCCUCUCUCUUCUUCUUUUCUCCUCUUCCUUCUUCUUCCCUCUCUUUGCCUCCGUUCAGGUGUAUUCUGCGGAAGUGGAGAAAGAUGAGUUGGAUGGACCUAAAGAUCUCGGUCGAUGUAGCAAGGUCAGUACAAUUCCUUGUCGGCCAUGGCUAGAGGUUGGUUUGGGGUUAUAUUGAGAUUGAGAUCUUUGUGCUUUUUGACUUAAUAGUUUUCCUUCUUGUACAUUGUUAAUAGAACUAACUAUUGUCUAUUGAGAUAUACUCUUGAGCUUUCAAUACCUUCUACUACCUGCUUGUGUAUGAAAAUAAAAAAAACCAAUUGUAAUUUCGGGGGACAGUGAGGAAGAUGGUAAUGAUUUUACUAGGUGGUGCUGGUUUUGUUUUUGAAGAAUUUGAAGAAGGCCAACUGACUUGGGUUUAGAAUUAUCCGACUUGAAGAAAAAUCAAACUAGCGGAAGCGUUGAAGCCUGGGUCUAAACCUCGCACUUGUUUCAUUCUAGCCUAAGAAAGGAAGGAAGGAAGAACGCGCCUGCGAAUUCAAAUGAAAAAGAGGUACCUGAGGAUCUAAGACGGCCAGAAACGGGCGGUUUGGGGAUUGUGGGAGUGGAAGAGGAAUAGGAGAGAUAAAGGAAUGGUUUGGCGCCAUUGGGAAAGGGGUUUGCGUGAAAGGGAUGAGGGUUUGAGUGUAAUUGGGAAAGUUAUUUAUUAAAAUAGUAACUUAGUUUAAUUGUUUACUGUUAUUGUAUGCAUUUAUGAGAACAAAUAAACGUUUUUUUACUGAAAAAAAAUGCGAAUUUUACAUUUA
Long non-coding RNA from Cucumis sativus (cucumber), 990 nucleotides. RefSeq lists it as uncharacterized. The transcript has 2 exons. Lineage: Eukaryota; Viridiplantae; Streptophyta; Magnoliopsida; Cucurbitales; Cucurbitaceae. The record is from RefSeq and is a predicted model, not a curated record.